ACACUAUCUUUAAGUUGGUCAACCAUAUCGGAUUUCGGUUAUUUAUACUAAGUAAUAUGCAUGGAGGGUAUAAAUAUCGCGCGAAUAAACGAAAACGACUGAAAAUAUUGUCGGAGAUUAAUGAGUGCCAGACAGCAGAAGAUAUAAUUAUGAUCUAGCACGUGCAUGUACAUCUUACGUUAUUAAAACAAAAGUUAAAUUAGAGUAUUUCGUAGCUAGCUUUAUUCUUUUUACAGAAUUGCAAUUCGCUUCAGAAAAAAAGUGGUUACUCGUAUACCAUUUUCAAAGUCUUUUUGCAAACUGUUAUGUUGAAACUGAUUCAAAUAGUCACGGGAAGUGGGUAUUGAAUGAAGGUACAUGUACUGUCACAUAAAAUACCACGAAUGAAAUAACGCAGUGUGCACGUAUUGGAAGUACGUGCGAUUCAGACACAACGGUUAAGUAGGCCUAUCCUACCAUAUUAAACAUUCCUUGAAACAAAAUUUACCAGACAAAUUCCUUCCACCCCAUACCACAUCAUUGUGUUUGUAGUUAAAAUUGCUAUAUUUUUUUUUCAAAUGUAAGGAUGGAAUCAGUAAGAAUUACUGCUGAUUAUUCAGAAUACUGGAGAUCGAACACGCUACCAGUUGCCUCGCAGUUUGGUAUUCACGAGCUUGUGUUCUAUUGAACUCUGUUUAAAGACAUGCAUGAAGUGCUACGAAACUGUUCCGAUAUACGCAACGUUGUUAUAAUGUUAAUCAGUUUUCAAAGAGAUGUUUAGAAGAAUGUUACGAUUUUCAAGUUAUUUCUUCCAGUGAAAAUAACAGUAACUCAAUACGAAGCACGGUUCAAACAUGGUCGAGCAGUGAAUACCCUACCAUGUAAUUAUUUAAUAAUGUUUUUUAGAUCAUAACAAUCUGAUUCAUAAAAAGCAAAGUUUGUAACAAUGCGGGAUACUUCAGAUUUUAUGUUUCUUCCAAAUCUUGGUAGGAACAUUGUUUACUGGUUUCAAAUGUAAAAUUUGUACACAGUGUUAGGCCGAUUAUGGGAAAAAAUGCGCAUACUGCAAUUUUCAAAAGAGUGAAACAAGCGUAUUUCUUGUUAUAGACUUGUUAUAGACUUAAGGAAAAACUGGUCACAAAGCUGGAGUUAGAUAAAGCGGUAACUUUACACAAAGACGCGGAGAACGCCGGAUUGAGGUAUGCUGACGUCAUUGAGGAUGAAGUAGAAAGUAUCAGCUGAACAAACGUAUUAUCUUUCCAAUAGGAAGGUUAAAUACGCUCAAUAAAAUAGUUCGCCACGCUUGAACAUGAGAAAGAAACUCGGCGAACAAGGCGUGAGUUCUAGAAUCAGAAACAUAUAAAAGCAGCAGACGACAGAGAAGGCUCGUCGUAUCAAACGGAACACGGAGAAUUACUGUAUUCCAGCUCCGAAAUUUGAGACGCUAUUUCGAAAGUCGCCACAUUUAUCCUUAAAGUUGUUUUGAUAUUGGAAAGACUGACUUUGCGCAGCUAAGUGUCGACGGUGAGAGUGUAUCAAGGGACAGAUGAGUUACACGAGAAAAUGAAGAGUAUUAAAGAAACCAAAACAUUCAUCAUCUUUAGAAGAAUCCUGCAGACUUGGCCGUACACUAACGGAAUUAACAUGAACACGGUUUUAAAGAGUUUCCGGGAAGGUCUAAAAGCAGGUUUAUGCCUUAGAUUGAACAUAUGUCGAGCCGUCCAGAAGACAUCUACAGGAUGCCUCCAUGCCUUUUAUCUAAGCAAUUUAAAACAACACGUGCGCCCCCUGGUGACACAUUGUUACAUCCGGGUGAUAUAUUGAUAGCUCUGUAUUCUAUUGCACCGAAUCCAUGGAGAUUGUGACUGAAAAUAAUGUAAUGAUGAUACAGUCUCGACGAAGCGAGCGCUUUUACUGGCGCUGAAGGAUGACCAACACUGGACCGCAGAUGGAAGAAGAUGAGCCGACAUCUAAGGCAUUCCAAAUGUCUCUGCAGCAAGCCUACAGACAUAGAUACAGCGUUCAAAGAAGGAUCAUUG
This is a long non-coding RNA of Mercenaria mercenaria, 2018 nucleotides long. RefSeq lists it as uncharacterized. The record is from RefSeq and is a predicted model, not a curated record. NCBI's taxonomy places the organism in Eukaryota, Metazoa, Mollusca, Bivalvia, Venerida, Veneridae. The transcript is spliced from 6 exons.